UUAAAUUUUAAUGGGUAGCUAGUAGACAGUAACACUCUGGAAGGGCUCAAACCACAUAACCAAAUGUGCCAAGAUAAUCCUGAGAUCGCUCAUGUCAGUCCUGAAGAUUUUCCUCAGAGAAUUUUUCAUCUCUUUGUUCCUGAGACUAUAUAUUAGAGGAUUGCAGAGAGGUGUUAUCACAGAAUAGAAAAAGGUCACUUGAUAUUCUUGGCUUGAUGAAAAAAGAACAAGAUUCUAACGUGACAGAAUUUGUUCUUCUGGGCCUAUCAUCUUCUUGGGAGCUGCAGCUAUUUCUCUUCUUACUAUUUUUGUUUUUUUACAUUGCUAUCGUCCUGGGAAACCUCUUGAUAGUGGUAACAGUGCAAGCCCAUGCUCACCUGCUCCAACUUCCUAUGUAUUAUUUUUUAGGUCAUCUCUCUUUCAUUGACCUAAGCCUGAGCUGUGUUACUGUGCCAAAGAUGUUAGGGGAUUUCCUACAGCAGGGCAAGAGCAUCUCUUUUUCAGGAUGCCUGGCCCAGAUCUACUUCCUCCACUUUCUAGGAGCCAGUGAGAUGUUUCUGCUGACAGUCAUGGCCUAUGACAGUGGAUUUUUAUCUGAGAUCUACAACUUAUGAAGAAUAUAAGUGAUAUAUAUAUAAGUGAUUAUAUGUGUAAUAUAUAUAAGUGAUAUAUAUUCUUUUCUACUCUUCAUGUAUGGAAUAAAAGGGCUUGCACAGUAGUAAGAAAAAAAUGGCUUAGGCCCACAGGAACAAAGAAACAGGACAGGAGUUAGAUGCAGAGAAGAGAUUUCAACAAAAGUUUGGAAAAGAUGCUAACGGUAGCAUAUGAGUCACAGACAGAAUAUUGGCACCUUUUUUUUAAGAAACUGAAUGUUAAUGUCACAUCUGCCUUUGGAGAUUACAAAUGAAAUGGCUACCUUUCUACUGGAACUCUGACCAGAAGCCUGCCAAUUAGUAAGCUGGCUUAAGAGAUCAAUCUAAAAUUUACAUAAGGCUUUUGAAAAAAAGAAAAAAGCAGAAGAAAUGAAGAUAGCAAACAACACAGUAGUGACAGAAUUUAUCCUCCUUGGUCUGACUCAGUCUCAAGAUAUUCAGCUCUUGGUCUUUGUGCUGAUCUUAAUUUUCUACCUUAUCAUCCUCCCCGGAAAUUUCCUCAUCAUUUUCACCAUAAAGUCAGACCCUGGCCUCACAGCCCCCCUCUAUUUCUUUCUGGGCAACUUGGCCUUCCUGGAUGCAUCCUACUCCGUCAUUGCGGCUCCCCGGAUGUUGGUGGACUUCCUCUCUGUGAAGAAGGUAAUCUCCUACAGAGGCUGCAUCACUCAGCUCUUUUUCUUGCACUUCCUUGGAGGAGGGGAGGGAUUACUCCUUGUUGUGAUGGCCUUUGACCGCUACAUCGCCAUCUGCCGGCCUCUGCACUAUUCGACUGUCAUGAACCCUAGAGCCUGCUAUGCAAUGAUGUUGGCUCUGUGGCUCGGGGGUUUUGUCCACUCCAUUAUCCAGGUGGUCCUCAUCCUCCGCUUGCCUUUUUGUGGCCCAAACCAGCUGGACAACUUCUUCUGUGAUGUCCCACAGGUCAUCAAGCUGGCUUGCACCGACACGUUUGUGGUGGAGCUUCUGAUGGUCUUCAACAGUGGCCUGAUGACACUCCUGUGCUUUCUGGGGCUUCUGGCUUCCUAUGCAGUCAUCCUCUGCCAUGUUCGUAGGGCAGCUUCUGAAGCGAGGAACAAGGCCAUGUCCACGUGCACCACUCAUGUCAUUAUUAUACUUCUUAUGUUUGGACCUGCUAUCUUCAUCUACACGCGCUCUUCAUCUACACGCGCCCCUUCAGGGCCUUACCAGCUGACAAGGUGGUUUCUUUCUUUCACACAGUGAUCUUUCCAUUGAUGAAUCCUAUGAUUUAUACCCUUCGCAACCAGGAAGUGAAAACUUCCAUGAAGAGGUUAUUGAGUCAACAUGUAGUCUGUCAAGCGGACUUUAUAAUAAGAAACUGAGAAGGAGGAAUUCUGGCUGGAAUUCAUAUCAUUCAUUUAACAAGUCCUGUUUUUCACUGAGUACCUCCCAUUUGCCAGGUACCAUUGUAGGCAAUGGAGGAGAGUUACGCAUAAUGAGAGAAUAAACUUAUUAAACUUAAAGAAUAUAAAGGAAACCCCAGAGUGGUUGAAGUAUAAUGAGUAAGUGUGAGAAAUUUAGGGGUUAAGUCUUAUGUGACUGCAAGGGUUUUUUAGUCUGAGGUAACAAUUUUUCAUAUUUUAAUUGUGGUAAGAACCCAUUUUAAUGUUUUAAGCAAAGGAGCAGUUCAUCUACAAUGCUUUCCUCUAUUGGUUAGAGCAACAUCAGCAAGAUUUUAGGCAGAGAUUAAUAAGUUUUAAAAUAUC
Molecule: small RNA, 2374 nt
Filed under: Pongo abelii (Sumatran orangutan)
Lineage: Eukaryota; Metazoa; Chordata; Mammalia; Primates; Hominidae
Description: sense overlapping
Source: RNAcentral